UCAACAUUUACUGGUCAUGUAAGAAGACUCGCUUCUAAUGUUGAAAUCAACACAUGCCUUGAUGGUAGUUCUUUUUCAUGCUUCUGAGUAUAUGCUUCUUUUUUUUUAGUUAGUGCAUACCCUUAUUUUUGUUUUCUUCUAAUUCCCUUCUAGGAAUUAUGUGUAGGGGGCAAUGGAAUUGUCAAUGAGUUUAUUUAAAAUAGGGUAGCAUGAGAAAAAUGCGAAGAGGAUUCAUCGAAGAUGAUUGAAGAGGAUCUUCACAACAUACAUGCCAAAUUGCCAAUAUGCCAAAGUGCUUCAUUGUUGUAUGAAUCAUCAAGUAUCCAGUGCUAGGUGCUAAUAUCUCAGUUAUCUCAAGCCAUCUCCUUGGAAGAAAUCAAGGAAUCUAUGUCUAAUAUGUAGCCAUUGUCCUCUGUGAAUUCUCUCAUGUCCUCGAGGAGAGUGAUGGAUUUCGAUAUGAUCUUUAGUCUUUUUUUAUGAACUGGGAGUGGGUAUUUGGAAUUA
Long non-coding RNA from Magnolia sinica, 504 nucleotides. RefSeq lists it as uncharacterized. NCBI's taxonomy places the organism in Eukaryota, Viridiplantae, Streptophyta, Magnoliopsida, Magnoliales, Magnoliaceae. The transcript is spliced from 5 exons. The record is from RefSeq and is a predicted model, not a curated record.